CACUUAGAGGUUUAUAAAUCCAACUUUUUCUUAGCUAAAACAUGGUUUUAGGUUCUCAAAUUUGUCGUGCAUCAACUUGUCCAACCAAUUACCAUUUCCAGAUCACAAUUAAAUUCAAACAACAAUCAUAAACCUCAAAGUUUCCAGGUUCAAACUCACGGUAGUUCACAAAAGUUUUCCAGCAAUUGUGUGUUCUUAUUACAACUUUUUCCUUGGCUAAAACAGAGUAUUAAGGUCUCAAAUUCAACAUGCCAUCACUUAACUAGUUUGUUAACAUUUCUAGCUCAGGAAUUAAAUUCAAUUAACAACGAAAAUCAUCCAAGAUUUCCAGAAAUCUUCCAACAAGCCACGGAUGAUCAUGCAUGUAGCAGAUUUCUAUCUCAUUUUAUUUUUCUGGUUUAAACCCAUUAAUUAACUACAUGCAAGGCUCAAUUAUCUUGUUAUUAUCUAAUUAGUUAUGGUUAUAAGCUUAAAGCAACAAGAUUAAACCAAAUGAAGCUACAUUAUUCAAGACAACUCUCGUCAGAAAUUUUCCAUCGAAACAGAAUUUCCUAAGCUCCUUAAUUCAUCAUUCAACUACAUAAAAUUAUCAUGCAAGGCCCUAAUCAUAAUAAUCAUCCAAGUUCCAGUUAGUUAAACACCACUGCAUGCUCAAAUUAUUUCAGGACAACAACAUUAAAGCUGCAUUAUCAAAUUAAUUCCCGGAAGUUCUGAUUUCUCAUGCGCAUCAGAAUUUCUUCUUCUAAAUCACUUGUCCGAAUGCUUGAAACCCACAUGUAAGGUCCUAACCAUAUUAAUCAUCCAAGCUUUAGUUAACUAAUCAUAAUUACAAUUCCAGAUUAUCACAGGAAAGCAGAUUUAAUCCAACAUUUCUUAAUCGAUUCUCGGAAAUCCAGAUUCAGCGCACAUCAGAUUUGUCUUUUCCUAGAUUCAUCAUUCAUCACCUAAGUUUCACAUGCAGGGCCCUAGGUAGCUUAAUCUACCCUUGAUCAGUUAGCUUUAGUCCAGAAAUUACCUCACCGAUAACUCACUCGAGUGACAAGAGAGCUGGAAAUUUUCUCUCGGCUUCACGCACGCGACAGUGGUUGUGGUUGUCGGUGGAGCUGGUGGUGUUACAGUCGUGAAGUUGGGUGCAAAUGGAGGUGCAGAAUGUGUGGACUUGCUCACGGUUUCUCCCUGCCUUUACUCCAGCUCACGGACAGACCAGAAACAUUCAACCGGCGGUUUCUUUUCUUCCUCUCGGCUGCAGAGUGCAGCUCGGCCUCUCUCUCUCUCUCUCCGUUUGUAGAGUGCGGCUCUCCCUCACUCUCUCCCUUUGCCGACAAUAGCAAGGCAGAGUAGAAUUGCAGUGAUG
RNAcentral lists this long non-coding RNA (1354 nucleotides) under Coffea arabica (coffee). RNAcentral's name for it is "long non-coding RNA (CARA_LNC008159)". The record is from RNAcentral. Lineage: Eukaryota; Viridiplantae; Streptophyta; Magnoliopsida; Gentianales; Rubiaceae.